GUGAGGAAUAUUGGUCAAUGGGCGGAAGCCUGAACCAGCCAUGCCGCGUGAAGGAAUAAGGCCCUAUGGGUCGUAAACUUCUUUUGGCGGGGAGCAAUAAGGUCUACGUGUAGACCGAUGAGAGUACUCGUUGAAUAAGCAUCGGCUAACUCCGUGCCAGCAGCCGCGGUAAUACGGAGGAUGCAAGCGUUAUCCGGAUUUAUUGGGUUUAAAGGGUGCGUAGGCUGUUUGUCAAGUCAGAGGUGAAAGGCCGCAGCUCAACUGUGGAAUUGCCUUUGAUACUGGCAGGCUUGAAUACUGUUGCCGUGGGAGGAAUGAGUAGUGUAGCGGUGAAAUGCAUAGAUAUUACUCAGAACACCGAUUGCGAAGGCAUCUCACGAAGCAGAGAUUGACGCUGAGGCACGAAAGCGUGGGGAUCAAACAGGAUUAGAUACCCUAGUAGUCC
Molecule: ribosomal RNA, 445 nt
Filed under: uncultured bacterium
Lineage: Bacteria
Description: bacterial SSU rRNA
Rfam family: Bacterial small subunit ribosomal RNA
Source: RNAcentral